This is a long non-coding RNA of Vombatus ursinus (common wombat), 726 nucleotides long. Lineage: Eukaryota; Metazoa; Chordata; Mammalia; Diprotodontia; Vombatidae. The record is from Ensembl.
CUUGGUCUGCCCAGACUAGCACAAGGAUUAAGCAUUUGAUAUUUUAGUUUUCAAUUUGGAGCCUUCAAUGAGACUGUCUACUGUGAAACUUGUCUUGUUAAGUGACUUCUUGGCAUGGGUGGGUACUAAAAAUGGGCAUAAAAUCAAUAUUCAUUCACAGGGAUGAAAAUUCAAGGUCACUAUUGACAUUAUUUACAAUAAAAAAAAAAUUAGCAUAUCACUGGUGGCAGAGUUUAAAUAGCUCUGAAAUACCCUGAAACCCAUCCUCUCUCGAAAGAAGAUCUCACCUUCCAGUCAUCUGUCUUAGGAGCCUAGAACCAUGAAGCUCUAUCUUGUAGCCUUUCUUAUGGCUCUUCUGGCUGUCCUGGCUGGAGCUGAUGAUUCAUCUGAAGAGCACCAUGGCAGAAGAUAUCCUCCAUAUAAUGGAUAUGAUGAUGAUUAUGGAAGAGAUUGACAUCCUCCAAAUGCUCAAAAUGCACCACAAGGAGGAUUUCAGUAAAUACAGGUUUGCCUGGAAUACUGACUCGAUCUCUCCACGUGAUGAAUCUACAAGUCUACAAAUUCAUCAAUGUCUCCAUCUGCCUACUUAGCAGCCUCUAUUAUUGAGCAUUAGAUGGUAGCUCCAAGCUUGUUAGAUUAACAUGAAUCGUUCUUCCAAGGCACUAAUGCUCUCCUUUACACUCUCUAUUUAAUAAAUUCAGCUCACAGCAUAUUGAAUGACUCUUG